AAGUCGUAACAAGGUAACCGUAGGUGAACCUGCGGUUGGAUCAUUACAAAGAUUCAAAACGUCGGCGGUCCUUCACCGGAACGCCCGGCGGCUCACUCUCGAGUGAGAUCAACAUACUGUGAACCGUACUCGUCUCUGGCGGCCGGGUGGCUUCAAAACCCACCUGUCAGCGCGAGCAAUCGCGCCGUGGACAACCCGCCAGCCACUUGUCAUACACAUUUUAUCUGUCUGAAACCUGUAUUUGCAAAACAAUACAAAAAAAACAACUUUUGGCAACGGAUCUCUUGGCUCUC
RNAcentral lists this unclassified non-coding RNA (293 nucleotides) under fungal sp. RNAcentral describes it as "partial internal transcribed spacer region". The stretch from base 1 to 46 matches the Rfam family "Eukaryotic small subunit ribosomal RNA", at positions 1786 to 1831 of the family's 1831-position model. Lineage: Eukaryota; Fungi. The record is from RNAcentral.